AUUGAACGCUGGCGGAAUGCUUUACACAUGCAAGUCGAGCGGCAGCGCGGGGCAACCUGGCGGCGAGCGGCGAACGGGUGAGUAAUACAUCGGAACGUACCCUGUUGUGGGGGAUAACGAAUCGAAAGAUUCGCUAAUACCGCAUACGACCUGAGGGUGAAAGUGGGGGAUCGCAAGACCUCACGCGAUAGGAGCGGCCGAUGUCGGAUUAGCUAGUUGGUGGGGUAAAGGCUCACCAAGGCGACGAUCCGUAGCGGGUCUGAGAGGACGGCCCGCCACACUGGAACGGAGACACGGUCCAGACUCCUACGGGAGGCAGCAGUGGGGAAUUUUGGACAAGGGGGGCAACCCUGAUCCAGCCAUUCCGCGUGAGUGAAGAAGGCCUUCGGGUUGUAAAGCUCUUUCGGCAGGAACGAAACGGUCCUAGUUAAUACCUGGGGCUAAUGACGGUACCUGAAGAAGAAGCACCGGCUAACUACGUGCCAGCCGCCGCCGUAA
This 498-nucleotide ribosomal RNA is filed under the name uncultured bacterium. RNAcentral describes it as "partial 16S ribosomal RNA". It matches the Rfam family "Bacterial small subunit ribosomal RNA", at positions 29 to 523 of the family's 1533-position model. The record is from RNAcentral.